CCGAAAAAUAGGUACAAUAUGAGGUAUAAAAUACCUUUAUCCGAAACCAACAAGAAGGCAACAAAAUAUCGAAUAGAAGGCAACCAAGAUCCAAUCGGAUUAACCAAUCUCAGCCUCGGCAAUAGAUCAAGAUAAAACAAUACCUGAGAUGAAGAUACCUUCCUCAACCCUCGGCAAAAAAUCAAGAUGAUACCUCCUUACCAACUGUAGCAGUACAAGGCAUCUGUGAAACCGAGAUGAAAGAAGGUAGGUAGACCACCAACC
This 264-nucleotide long non-coding RNA is filed under the name Elaeis guineensis (African oil palm). RNAcentral describes it as "long non-coding RNA (EGUI_LNC015940)". Lineage: Eukaryota; Viridiplantae; Streptophyta; Magnoliopsida; Arecales; Arecaceae. The record is from RNAcentral.